UGUGGUUAUUUGUAAUAUCCUGUAUGUGUCUGGAGUACUUUGAUGCCUUGGAUUGGAAGCUAACUUAAAAGAUGAACUUUUGAGGGUGUGUUUUCUAUUGUGUGGGGCUUUUGUCGAAAUUAGGAUUCCGAAACACGUUUUUCUACGGUGGGUUCAUUCGACAGCGAUUUACUUUCUUAGAAGUUGCGAGACGGUAUGUUUUUGAUUGCAAUUAUUGGAAGAUGACAGAUCCAUCUUUAAAAUGAUACCAGGUUCGGAAAAAUUGAUACGUCGGAAAGGCAAGAAAAAUGCUGUGAAAGUUGUCAGUUUUAUAAUGGGACCCUAUGGGAAUCGGAAUUAGUGUAAUAUAACCUUUAAAAAGCACAUUUACUGCAAUGUCAAGGUCACAUGGAUUCGUCUGCAAGCAAGACAAGUAGAAAAUGAAUUUUAAUGAAUGUUUUGAUGAUUUGGGUGCUAAAAUAGAUGAGAGGUGUCAAUAUUUUGGUCCAAAUGGAUGUUUUAGGUGGUUUUAGACGGUUCCGGAUGGGUGGGGGACCUGGUAUGGACAAGUAAGGGUAACAUUUCCAACAAAUCUUAAAUGUAAAUAUUAUUAUGUCCAUAGAUUGAAGUUUCAGGUGGAGAGCAAGAUGAAAAAUAUGCAAAAUUACAUGCAUGCAACCCAUUUAUGCCAUUUUUCUCUUUGUUUGUAGGCCUGACCGUUUGUCCUUGAGCCGUAGAUGGUCAACAAUCCGCUAGCUGUCUUGCUCUGACUGGUGCACUGGACAUGAUUUCAAUAGUCAGCCAGACCAUGAUUGAGCUUAAGGAUUGUGCUGCGGAUGCAGCCUGUGCAGUUCCGGGAGAAAGUCACUGUCUCGGGCAAUGCGGUCUGGUAUCAGGUCUGGAUGAUCCUUGCCUGACUGCGGGUUUGUGUACACCUCAAUCCGACUCUGUGUCCUGAACAGAGGCCGCAGUGGUGCAGCGCUUGUGGACGAUCCAUCAACAUCCUGAAAGGUCAACACUACACCAAGCUGGAAAAAUUGAUCCUGAUAGUCAUCCCCAGGUAGUGGAAUGAAUGUUCACUGAACUACAGAGGAAUCACACCCAAAUGACUUUCCUGCCACGACAUUAGUGUGGCCACUCGCGUAGGAAUUCCUUAGCAAACAUGCUCUUUUGCAUGGUGACUGUGGACAUUUUUGCAAAACUUACGCUUUCAACACUGGAUUUUAAAGAGAAUACUUAAUAAAAUGUCGCUAACAGUACUUAUUUAUAUGAGAGAGACUAUCUGGAUGCGCAUUAAGUGUCACUUUGUGUCGUAAGCUGUUGAAGGAGCGAUUUGCGCCUUUUUAAGUGUUAAUUUUGGGUAGCCGGCUUGUAUCAGCUUGAAAGCUGAAAAUUAUGCCUCUCAUCAUAAUAGCAUUAAUUUUUGUAAUUGCAAUGUGUAUGUUUAGAUUGUAAGUGAAGCUUUUAAUAACAAUUUUCUUAAAAAACA
Dreissena polymorpha is the source of this 1468-nucleotide long non-coding RNA. RefSeq lists it as uncharacterized. The transcript has 3 exons. The record is from RefSeq and is a predicted model, not a curated record. Lineage: Eukaryota; Metazoa; Mollusca; Bivalvia; Myida; Dreissenidae.